Molecule: ribosomal RNA, 481 nt
Filed under: uncultured bacterium
Lineage: Bacteria
Description: partial 16S ribosomal RNA
Rfam family: Bacterial small subunit ribosomal RNA
Source: RNAcentral
GAUGAACGCUGGCGGCGUGCUUAACACAUGCAAGUCGAACGAAGCAUUUGCGACAGAUUUUUUCGGAAUGAAGUUGCUUAUGACUGAGUGGCGGACGGGUGAGUAACGCGUGGGUAACCUGCCUUGUACUGGGGGAUAGCAGCUGGAAACGGCUGGUAAUACCGCAUAAGCGCACAAUGUUGCAUGACAUGGUGUGAAAAACUCCGGUGGUAUAAGAUGGACCCGCGUCUGAUUAGCUAGUUGGUGAGAUAACAGCCCACCAAGGCGACGAUCAGUAGCCGACCUGGGAGGGUGACCGGCCACAUUGGGACUGGGACACGGCCCAGACUCCUACGGGAGGCAGCAGUGGGGAAUAUUGCACAAUGGAGGAAACUCUGAUGCAGCGACGCCGCGUGAGUGAAGAAGUAAUUCGUUAUGUAAAGCUCUAUCAGCAGGGAAGAUAGUGACGGUACCUUACUAAGAAGCUCCGGCUAAAUACGUG